AGAUUGAACGCUAGCGGGAUGCUUUACACAUGCAAGUCGAACGGCAGCGCGGACUUCGGUCUGGCGGCGAGUGGCGAACGGGUGAGUAAUAUAUCGGAACGUGCCCAGUAGCGGGGGAUAACUACGCGAAAGCGUGGCUAAUACCGCAUACGCCCGUACGGGGGAAAGGGGGGAUCGCAAGACCUCUCACUAUUGGAGCGGCCGAUAUCAGAUUAGCUUAGUUGGUGAGGUAAAGGCUCACCAAGGCGACGAUCUGUAG
This 259-nucleotide ribosomal RNA is filed under the name uncultured soil bacterium. Its description in RNAcentral is "partial 16S ribosomal RNA". It matches the Rfam family "Bacterial small subunit ribosomal RNA", at positions 26 to 286 of the family's 1533-position model. The record is from RNAcentral.